Molecule: ribosomal RNA, 497 nt
Filed under: uncultured bacterium
Lineage: Bacteria
Description: partial 16S ribosomal RNA
Rfam family: Bacterial small subunit ribosomal RNA
Source: RNAcentral
GAUGAACACUGGCGGCGUGCCUAAUACAUGCAAGUCGAGCGAACGGACGAGAAGCUUGCUUCUCUGAUGUUAGCGGCGGACGGGUGAGUAACACGUGGAUAACCUACCUAUAAGACUGGGAUAACUUCGGGAAACCGGAGCUAAUACCGGAUGAUAUUUUGAACCGCAUGGUUCAAAAGUGAAAGACGGUCUUGCUGUCACUUAUAGAUGGAUCCGCGCUGCAUUAGCUAGUUGGUAAGGUAACGGCUUACCAAGGUAACGAUGCAUAGCCGACCUGAGAGGGUGAUCGGCCACACUGGAACUGAGACACGGUCCAGACUCCUACGGGAGGCAGCAGUAGGGAAUCUUCCGCAAUGGGCGAAAGCCUGACGGAGCAACGCCGCGUGAGUGAUGAAGGUCUUCGGAUCGUAAAACUCUGUUAUUAGGGAAGAACAUAUGUGUAAGUAACUGUGCACAUCUUGACGGUACCUAAUCAGAAAGCCACGGCUAACUACGUG